GAUGAACGCUAGCUACAGGCUUAACACAUGCAAGUCGAGGGGUAACGAGAGGAAAGCUUGCUUUCCUUGUCGACGACCGGCGCACGGGUGAGUAACGCGUAUCCAACCUGCCCCCAACUAGGGAAUAACCUUGCGAAAGUAAGACUAAUACCCUAUAAUUUCCUCAGAUGUCAUCUGACGAGGAAUAAAGAUUUAUCGGUUGUGGAUGGGGAUGCGUCUGAUUAGCUUGUUGGCGGGGUAACGGCCCACCAAGGCAACGAUCAGUAGGGGUUCUGAGAGGGAGGUCCCCAACAUUGGAACUGGGACACGGUCCAAACUCCUACGGGAGGCAGCAGUGAGGAAUAUUGGUCAAUGGGCGGAAGCCUGAACCAGCCAAGUAGCGUGCAGGAUGACGGCCCUAUGGGUUGUAAACUGCUUUUAUACAGGAAUAAAGUUAGCCACGUGUGGUUAUUUGUAGGUACUGUAUGAAUAAGGACCGGCUAAUUCCGUGCCAGCAGCCGCCGUAA
RNAcentral lists this ribosomal RNA (506 nucleotides) under uncultured bacterium. Its description in RNAcentral is "partial 16S ribosomal RNA". It matches the Rfam family "Bacterial small subunit ribosomal RNA", at positions 28 to 523 of the family's 1533-position model. The record is from RNAcentral.